This is a long non-coding RNA of Eriocheir sinensis (Chinese mitten crab), 3342 nucleotides long. RefSeq lists it as uncharacterized. The transcript has 2 exons. NCBI's taxonomy places the organism in Eukaryota, Metazoa, Arthropoda, Malacostraca, Decapoda, Varunidae. The record is from RefSeq and is a predicted model, not a curated record.
CCAAUCACCAAACGCCACGUGAGGAAGGCGAGAGAGGCAGAGACUCCUAGCGGUGUUUUCCCUCACUCUCAGUAGCAAUCUUUCCUGGUGAGGUGAGGACGUCGUCAGGUGCUACUUAAUUGGUGGGCGAAGCGGGAGCCACACCUGAUCUACCUCGUGGUCUGGAGCCCUGGACUCCUUCUUCAAUCCUCUCUCGUUCCUCUCUGCAACACGCCGCCUCUCGACCUUCCAAAGGGUUCCCUCGCCUGCAGCACACAGUCACUCUCGACUUGUGGAUACUACAAAGGCAGGUAACCACCACGAUGGACACGUGGCACGGAAGGAUGGUGAGGAUCGACGUCUUGUCGCGUUGGAGUCUCGGAAGAAGAUGGCGCGGGGAGCGCCAAGACCCACAAGCCUCAGCUGCGGUCAAGGUGCCAGCUCUCGCCACACUGACAUCUCGUUUUCUGUGUAACACUUACACUAAACGCCCUACGGCUAUUUAUUAUUAUUUAUAAAUAACCUAACACUAUGCACGGUAAUAGUGGGUCAUGCAUCCCACUCAUAAUUCAGCUUUGGCAGCAAUAACGAAUAUGAUUUGAAAUAGGUGCUGUUUCCUGCCUUCUAAUUUUCCAAUGCCAAAAUCUACAUUUUUGGCACUUUUUUACUGUGUUUCGCAGAAAAAUCUUUUGGUUGGCAUUUUCCUGGUAUAUUUUUGUUAAUACAUUAAUGCUUUAAAAGACUUAUCUGCAAUACAAUUAUUUAUAGAAUGAGAUAGGAACGAUGAUUCCAGUAGUAUUUAAUUCAAGUCACCCAAACCUUAGUUCCCCUUAAAGGUUCACUUUCACUCCUGACGAUGGCCCGGUUGCAUAAUUAUAUAGUGUACCACAGUACUGUGCAGGGCAGCGAGAACGGGUGAGCGACACUCUUUGAAGGGGUCUCAAACAGACCUCCCCGACACACUCGCACACACCUUCACCUACUGAUAGUGUUAUUUUCUGUCUUCUUUCGCGCGCGCGCGCGUGUGUGUGUGUGUGUGUGUGUGUGUGUGUGUGUGUGUUUGUUGGUAUUUCACUGAUUGAUAGCAUUUUUCUUAUCGUAGAAAUAUAUUUGCCUCUCUCUCUCUCUCUCUCUCUCUCUCUCUCUCUCUCUCUCUCUCUCUCUCUCUCUCUCUCUCUCUCUCUCUCUCUCUCUCUCUCUCUCUCUCUCUCUCUCUCUCUCUCUCUCUCUCUCUCUCUCUCUCUCUCUCUCUCUCUCUCUCUCUCUCUCUCUCUCUCUCUCUCUCUCUCUCUCUCUAUCUCUCUCUCUCUCUCUCUCUCUCUCUCUCUCUCUCUCUCUCUCUCUCUCUCUCUCUCUCUCUGUGUGUGUGUGUGUGUGUGUGUGUGUGUGUGUGUGUGUGUGUGUAUAUACAAUGUCAUUUUUUUUUUUUUUUUUUUUUUUUUUAGGUGCAAAGCAUAUAACAGUUCAACUCAUGAUUUUCAUGGUUGAAAUUUUUGACUCCUAUAUGAAGAAGAGACUUACAAACGUUGCUGUAGGAAGCCGGAGGACAAAGAACACAAGUAUGGGAACACUGUCCCUUCUAGCCGUCACUCCCCUAGGCAACGGAAGAUACACGGUGAGGAGCCAGUCUACUGCAUCCCUUGACUAUACUGUAGAUAUGGAGGCUGCCUUCUGUGUGUGUAAUGUGGGACAGAAUGGCUCUCUAUAUAAACUUCAGGCCACCUGCGCAGAACACAGCAUGACAGCCCUCCCUCAAGUAUUCACUGCCACGAGUGGGGUUGUAGGUGUGGCCCGGCUGACGCACACAGGUACGCGGUGUAGCAGGCACGUUUGCUGCAAGAAACAGACAGUUUUCUUUCUGUAUCUGCUUGUCUGUUGACUUUUGGUGAGUGAUGGAGGUGGCCUGAACGUUAAUCAUAUUAAUAAAUAGAUUGUAAUGUCCAGUAUUUGUUUUGUUUUAGGAGUCUUCUCAUAACAAGGCUGCCUUGUUGAGUGACCAGCUGGCGGUGUGGGAUGGGUUGCUAUUUCGGGUAAAGAUUCGUUUCAUUAACGUUGCUCAAACUUGGACAAGAACAUUUUAAUUCUGGGUGUUUUUUUGGUGCUCUUUAACAUGGACAUUCUUUUUUUCCUUGAAAACCUGUUAUUUUUAUGCAAAUCCAAAUUUUAUCAUGGAGCAUGAAUAUAACAGAUUUUCAAGUCGAAAAAAAAAAUCUCCAUUUAAAAAUGCAUCAAAAUGUAUAUACCCAGAAUUAAAAUGUUCUUGCCACUAGUCACCAGUGCAAUUACAACCAAACCAAACCUAACCUGACCUAAGCAAACUUAACCGAACAAAACCGAACAAAUCUGUGAGACUUACCUCACGCAGCGUUUGGGUCCGUUUACAGCCAUGGCGCGCCCAAGGUUCUUCAUGGAACCUUGAGGAACCUUGGGCGCGCCUAGCCAGUGGUUGCCGUAAUUAUUUCCUAUUUUGAACAAUAAAAAAAUGGUUCUUGAACUUGAUUUAAAAAGCGUUUCCAUGAUUGUUGAACGUUUGUAGAAAAGAUAUAUGAAUGUUUCAUUAGGUAGGUAAUGAAAUAUGGCACGUUGAUAAAACGAAUCUGAACCCUAUUUCGUCUAACUUGCGACAAACGUACACAAUUAUGUCCAAAAAAAUGGAAGAGUUUAAAUGACUCCUCCAGAAAAUUUAAAAAGAUGAAUGGGGAAAAAAUGUGUGCGUGAAAGAGUCUAGUGAUGGGUCUGUAGAAGCCUUCUGUAAGCUGUCACUGCAAUUUGGUUCCAAGGCUGUCUUCCCUUCAAAAUCAUAAAAACUAAAUCCUUCAUUUAUUUUAGAGUUUAAUGGGUUUAACUUUAUUGUAAAGGAUGUCUCACAGGUUAUUUAAGAACUUCAAUAAACAUCUAUCAUGAAUAGUAGGAAGUAAUAUAUUUGAUUUUGUGUUAACAUCUUUCUUUUCUUUCUUUUACAGCCUACAAAGUAGAUAGGGUAUGUCUCAGAAGAUAGUGAUUAAUAACAAUAUUGAAAUUCAAUGAUGAUGGACAUGAAUAAUAUGCAUUUUGAUAUUCGAUGUAUGUGAUACUAUUUUGUAUUAUUUAUUCAAUCGUUAUAUGACUUCCAAGUUAAAGAGGAAAAUGUAAUAUAUUUGGUUUUACGUGUUAAUAUCUUUUUCUUUUUAUCACAUUGCGAAGAGUAGCUUCGUAUAUUUUAAAGGAUGGUGAUUUAUUAAAGUAUUGGAAUUUACUGAUGAUGGAUAUGAAUGAUAAGCAUUUUAUAUUGAUUUUAUGUGAUGUUGUUAUAUUUUAAUUAGUCAAGUUAUAUACCUUCCUUGUUAAAGAGAAUGCAAUAAAUUUGCACAGUGAAAAUAUAAA